UCUCUCUCUUUCUCUACCUCUCUCUUCCUCUUCCUCUUCCUCUUUCUUUUGUCUCUCUUUCUCUGAUAUCGUUCUUCUGAUGAUUUCCGAGCAGAUGAACAUGAUGUUGAUGACGAUGAUGAACACGUUUGCUGAUGAUAUCAUGAUGUUGAUUUUGAACCGUUGAUGGUUGUUGCUAAGGGUUACGGUCGAGAAAUUGAUGAUGAUGUUGGUGACGCUCAAAGUCACAGCAAAUCGGUGAGAUCUUUCUUUGUUUAUCGUGUUUUAAGUUCUCUAAUCUCUCUUCUUCUCUCAAUAUUUUCUGAAGGGUUUGUGUAAAAAAUGAGGAAGAUGAUGAUAAAAUAGGGUUUCAUGAAUGUUUGUGUUGUAUCCUAUUUACUGAAUAUGAACUGAGUUCUUUUUCUUUCUUCUCAUUGUUUUUGGAAAAUUUAUAUACAUGAGGAUGAUGAUGAUGGAAUUUUAGGGUUUUGGUUAUGUAUUCUGCUGCUGUGAAAAAAUGUGAAUCAGAUUCUCUUUACUGUGAACCAAAGUUUAUUUGUGAUUUAUAGUAAAGAUUAGGCCCAUGAUUUGAAUCAUUCCCCUUAAAAAUUCUGAUUCCUUUACAUAAACCCUAAUGAUGAAUUGUGAAUCUUCUAUUGUUGUUGUUUGGAACUUAAUUGAAUUUCAUGUUUGUGUUUUUUUUUGCAGAGUGACUGUGGAUAAUUCUUCAAGUAGAACAACCACUUUGAUAAAGCUUUGAAAUUUAAACGUUAUAAGGAAUACGAAGCUGCAAAAAAUACGAAACAAAUUGUUUCGGUAGCUUCUGUUAGCUUUUUGAAGGUCUUCACUUCAUUUGAAACAUAAAGAGAUGUGUUGCAUUGCAGGUAGCAGCACCUUCAUUAGGGCUUCAAGCCCACUUCCUAUGAAAUCAGAUUUUAGAUUUUUCAAUCAACUUAAGAUUGGUGAAAGAAAAGAUUAAGAUAGUACUACUGUAAGAGAACUCAGCAGAGAGUGGCCUGGAAGUGCAUAUGAUAUGUUGUCCAAAAUCUGCAACCACUUUUGUGGUGAAUUGUGUGAAAUGUCUUUCCGAUGCUGGUUGGAGAUGGUUGUAUGCUGAUGUGGGACUUCUUGCUUUUGGCAUAUGAAAAUGACAUGUGUGGCUGUUGCCUGUUUGUAGGUUGUGAACAUUCUUAGUGGUGCAUUGAAAUUAUGAAGGCAACCCAAUUAUGAAUCUAGAAUUGGAUUUAAUAUCAACUUGAAAUUUAAAUUAUAAAUCUAGAACUAGCUCAUGUCUAUCAAACAGACUUGUGAAGUGAGGUUGUGAAAAGCAGUUUAGAAAUCAACCAAGUUACUAUCGCAAUGCAGGAUCAACUUUGCAGCAAUAAGGACAUUUGCAUGACCUUAUAUACUGUUAAAAUUUGUCAAACAAAUCCGGUUCAGGAGAUUUAGAGGUAACUGUACAAAUGUGGAAAGUCCAUUAAGGAGAGAUAGAGGUAGCUAUGCAGGCAACCGAGAAUCAAACCUUAGGACAAACCCAGAAAGGAAAUCCCGCCUCUGUCAUGCAAUCAACAGCCGCAGUAAACACAGCUGUCGAUCUUCUCAACUACGACGACAUCUCAGACAUUUCCAGAAACCAAGGUGUGAGCAUCUCCGAAACUGAAGUUCGUGGAAACCGUGUGAUCACUAAGUCGGUUGGGUCACAAGUUGUAUGACAGUUUGUUGAACCUGAUGUGCCAAUGAACGGUCUUGGUUUCUUGGAUUGUGACUAUAUUCCUACUGGUACAUCAUGUACUUGAAUUGUGGUUUAAUCAAUUAUUUGUUCCUAAAAAAAGGCAUUACCUGCCUAUUCUAGAUAAAAUCUUGGAAUUAUUUGAAUUGUGGUUUAAUCAAUUAUUAGAUAAA
Molecule: long non-coding RNA, 1881 nt
Organism: Vicia villosa (hairy vetch)
Lineage: Eukaryota; Viridiplantae; Streptophyta; Magnoliopsida; Fabales; Fabaceae
Exons: 7
Source: RefSeq, a predicted model, not a curated record